UUGCCUGUAGUGGCGAUAGCUGAUGUAGCCAAUGGCACUAGCAGUCCAAAAGAGGACGAUGGGGAUGCCGAGCUCCUUUGCGGCGUCCAGCGUGAAGCUCAUGACGGCAUCGGAGACGACGCAGGUUACCUUCGGGACGCCCGAUGACGGGUCGUUGAGCUCCGCGAGGAGUUUGCGGAAGUGGGGGAGGCAGUUGGUCAUGGUGGACCGGCAGAGGGAGGGGACGUCCUGCGUCUUAUCCUCAUCCGAGAAGGGGAGGCCGUCGGGUAUGGUGGCGAAUCGGAAGUCGGGGAGGCCAUCGAGAGCGGCCGGGCCCUGUGACCGGAGAAGGCGGCGGUGGUUGUACUCGGUGUUGACGAAGGUGAUGUGGAAUCCAUGGAGGGAGUGGAGGAGCUUAGCCACCUUCAACACGGGCGUCACGUGGCCCUGCGCGGGGUAGGGGAUGCACACUGCAUGGGGCUUAUGAUCAGAUCCCACAGAACCCAUCUCUCUAUCUCUAACCGGGAUAUUUUUUGGAGGGGGUUGCUUUGUGUGGCUUAGAAAUUAAGGAGCUUCUUGGCUCUAUAUAUAUAGGGGGUGGGAUGUUAUAUAUCUUUCGUCGUGUUGGAGCUCCAAUUACAUAUUGGCCCCACGAUUGCAAGUAAGUUUGCAAUUAAUAGUAGCUAAAUGCCCAAGGAGACUUCGAGGAACCGCUCUUAACUUUGUGGAGGGCCGGCAGGAUAGCCCAGUUGCAUGUGCAUAUAUAUGUCGUGUAUAACACUUAUAUUAUAUUAUUUAUUUUAAAUUAGUUAUAUUUUUUAUUUUUAUAUUAUUCUACAAUAAAAAUAUUUUUUAAAAAAUAAUAAUGACGCAUGAAAAUUUUACGAUUGAUUGGAGGCAUCACAUCAGCAAUUUAACUUCUAAAUUUUUUUUUGACUCAGAGUCGUAAAUUGUAAAUUGAAUGUACAUGUACCAUUCAUGUAGCUUUCAAAUUUAUAUUCUUUGCACAACUUGUAGAAGAUGAAACAAUCAUAAGUUGGGGGACUAAUUCUUGUCUAUGGGGCGAAAUAAUAGUAAAGUGAUUAGUCCCGUCAAUUAACUCACUUAUUCCAAAGAGUAUUGCGUGCACCGAUGAUCACCAUGUUAGCAGGCAACCAUUGUACUACUUCCACAUAAUAAAUACAGUUUAAUUAAAAUUUAGAAGUAAAUCCGGAUAGUUCAGAAAUGAUUCAAGAUAGAAUUUGAUAUAUAUAUAUACACGCAUAAUAGCCAACACUUAAUGAGGAGGGCUACUGUACUAUUAGGAGCACGACAGUACUUGUACUCUUAAGUUUCUGACCAUCGAUCAAUUUUGAUGGGUUGUUAGGAUAAUAGGAAAAGAGUAAUUUGAAAAAAAAUUCAAAAAGAAGAGAAAUUCAGAUGCCCAAUUUUUUUUAAUUUUUCUUCUCUUUCUCAUCCUAGCCAUCCUUUAAAAUUAAUAGAUGGGUAGAAAUAUAAGAGCACAAGAGCUAUUGUAUUCCUUAAUUGUGUUCUAAAAUUAUGCUUAGUUUGGGAACUAAACUCUAGUAAAUGACUUUUGUUAUUUAAGAAAAUAAAAAAUAUUUUUAUAAGAUGGAAGUUAUAAAUUUACAUUUGAAUGUAUUCAAGAAUAUUCUAAAGAAUAUCCUUAAUAUAGUUGGGAUGAAAAAUCUAAAACAAUAUCUAUACAUUUUUAAAAAUACAAUAUUUUGUAUAGAAGAUUAUACAUAACAUACAUUAAAAAUUAAUGUAAUGUAAAUUUAAUAAUAUUAAUGAAAAAUCUUAUAAUAUAAAUUAUUCUCCAUAAAGUUAUUUUUACUAUUUUUUAUAUAAUACAUUAUAUAUAAUAUUUAAUAAAGAGUAAAAUAAUAUAAUAACAAUAUAUGUAAAACAACUUAAUAAAUAAAAUAAAAUAAUAUAUCACAUUUACUGUAAUUUAUAUUUUAUAAUAGUGGAUAAGUAAAGCUAUAUUAUAACAAAAUUAAUAUUUAUAUUAGUAAUUAUUUAUUUAUCCAUUUAUAUAAUAAAAAAUAAAGAGACUAACAAUUUUGUUACUAGUUCCAUAGAGAAUAACUUUUAACCAAUUUGUUCAAAGAUAAUUAGUUUUGAUGGGAACAACUAGUUUCUGCCUCUUUAGCUAGUAUUUGGGUACAAAGUUGGGAUUUUUUUUUGUUCCGGGGAUAUAAAAUAUAUUAACGAUUUUUUAUGCAUUAUAUUAUCAACUAUUUCAGAUAUUUUAUAAAAAUUGUGUUCAUGAGAAUUGAUUUGUACGGCGUUGUGCAAUAAUGCAAUAAUAACAAUGUUCAUCCUAUAUCCAAUUUUAUUAUAGUUGCAUAUAUAAUGGAACAUGAACGCUGGACCGCGAUGGCUAUGACGACGUAAGUGUUACAAGAAUUGAAGAGAACAAGAAGGAAAAGUGUGUCGGGGCGAAGACGCUUGCUGCGGCCGCAAGGGAGGGGGCACGACAAUGGACAAAGAUGCAGAGCAUGAAAAAAAAAAAAAUAAUAAAACUAAAAAAUAAUAUAGCAUCUAAGAUUCGACAUAUCUCAAUAUAUGAGAUAUAAUAGAUCGAGUUAAAUCUUGUAGUCCGAUUAUAGCAUAUUGGGUGGUGAUUAAGUCCAAUAAAUUAAAAGUAGAGUAAGAAUAAUUCUUUAAAUUGAUGACUCCCUAGGGAGAAAAAAUAAAAGUUUGACAUAUUGUUGGGCGAUAGUUAUGUCCAAAAAGUUAAUAAAGGAGAUGUGAGAUAUAAUGAUGUAGUUGGUUGACUAAAAAAGUUGAAAAAGAGAUAAAAUAUAAUAAAAUUAAAUCUCUUAACUUAGCUAUCGUACUUUAUCUUCAUGUGCUCUUUUCUUUUAUCUUUCUUAGAUUCUACGGCACCUUUGUCACCAUCGUCGCCGACGGCCAUGCCCUCUGCCACAGCUUCACCUUUGUGAUUUGCAUAUCUGAGUCCGUGUUAUUAUCGCUGGAGUUAACAGAGAUGUGAAAAAGGUAAAAGAGAAGCACAGCGUACGUCAACGUGGGAGUAGCAGGUGGGGAGGAGGAAGAGGGAUAAAAAGAGGUUGGACAAACAGAAUAAGAUAGAAAAGGAGGAUGAAUGGGGGAGAAAGACGAGCAACUAAGAGAAAGGAGAGAAAAAUACUAAUAAUAAUAAUUUAGUUAGUUUACUAAAAAUUUAAAUUUAAUAUAUAAAAUUUUAAAAAAUAAUAUAUUUUAAUAAAAAUAUAAAAUUAAUAAAAUUUUUAUGUAAAUUACUAUGACAUUGCACAUGGCACCUUACAAAACUGCAUAUCUAGACAACAUCUUUCUUAGAAAGCAGCACUUGGCUAACCAACUUGUCGAAAUUUGCAAAAGAGGGACCACCCUCCUGCGUCGCCUUCGCCGCCAUGUCCUUCCACUCCAUGGCCCUCCUCUUCAUCUCCUUCCCCUUCUCCCCUCCCAUGAUUUCUCUUAUCAACCCCUCCACCUCCUUUCUCUUCACAUCACCAUCAAUCUCCAUCCCGAUCCCCCACUCUGCGCAUGUGUACCUGCCGAACACGAAAGAUUAAUUAAAAUCAAUUUAUAUGAAUUUUUUAAAACAUUUAAAUUUUUAGAGUAAUACGAUUGUUUUGCAGUACCUGCAGUUGGUUUGCUGCUCUGCAAAGAAGGGCCAGCAUAGCAUCGGCACGCCACCGCACACGCUCUCCAGCGUGGAGUUCCACCCGCUGUGCGUCAGGAACGCGCCCACCGCGGGGUGGCAAAGCACUUCCUCCUGCGGGCACCAGUUCGCCAUGAGCCCCCUCUCCUUCGUCCCCUCUACAAACUCCGGCGGGAGCACCGCGGCGUCGCCCUUAACAAGGUCGGGUCUGAUGAUCCACAGAAACUCGUACUCGCUAUUCGCGAGCCCCCACGCGAACUCUAUCAGUUGCUGGUUCGUCAUGACCGUUAUGCUACCGAAAUUCACGUAGACAACGGACCCGGGCCUUUUGUUUUCCAACCAUUGUAAGCAAGCGGGCUCCUCCUUCCACAGGUUGGAGCCCACGGAGCUGAGUGGGCCGUGGGGGAUGCGUCGGGCGAGGAGGGAGAGGGGGCCGAUGGUGUAGAUGGGCGGCACGAUAGCCGCCAUGGCUUCGAGCGCCGGGCGCUCGAAAUCGUCGAACGUGUUGAGGAGGACAGCAGACGCCAUGGGGGUGCGCUCCGUCUCGUGCAGGACGAAGUGCACCAUGAACUCGUCGGGGUCCAGCGUUCGAAUGAAGCUCGGGAAGUCUCGUAGUCUCAUGUUCGGCGCUCCCGGUACCCAAUCGAUCGGUGUUUCGAGAUACCCAUCAGUUAGCUGACCCACAUCUGCUCAAAAAAAAAAAAGAAAAAAAAAGAAAAAAAAAAAGAAAGAAAGAACUGUCAAUAUCUAUUCACUUACUAAAGCAGAAGAAGCAGAACCAAACAGGUCUGAAAUUAAGCGUGCUGUACCUUUAAGCGGAACGAUACCCUUCUCCAUGAGGUGCCUGUAGUGGCGAUAGCUGAUAUAGCCAAUGGCACUAGCAGUCCAAAAGACGACGUCGGGGAUGCCGAGCUCCUUCGCGGCGUCCAGCGUGAAGCUCAUGACAGCGUCGGAGACGACGCAGGUCACCUUCGGGCGGCCGGACAACGGGUCGUUGAGCUCCGCGAGGAGUUUGCGGAAGUGGGGGAGGCAGGUGGUCAUGGUGGACCGGCAGAGGGAGGGGAUAUCCUGCGUGCUGUCGUCGUCGG
RNAcentral lists this long non-coding RNA (4719 nucleotides) under Ananas comosus (pineapple). RNAcentral's name for it is "long non-coding RNA (ACOM_LNC010960)". The record is from RNAcentral. Lineage: Eukaryota; Viridiplantae; Streptophyta; Magnoliopsida; Poales; Bromeliaceae.